GACGAACGCUGGCGGCGUGCUUAACACAUGCAAGUCGAACGGAAAGGCCCUGCUUUUGUGGGGUGCUCGAGUGGCGAACGGGUGAGUAACACGUGAGUAACCUGCCCUUGACUUUGUGAUAUCUUCAGGAAACUGGGGCUAAUACCGGAUAGGAGCUCCUGCUGCAUGGUGGGGGUUGGAAAGUUUCGGCGGUUGGGGCUGGACUCGCGGCUUAUCAGCUUGUUGGUGAGGUAGUGGCUUACCAAGGGUUUGACGGAUAGCCGGCCUGAGAGGGUGACCGGCCACAAUGGGACUGAGAGACGGCGCAGACUCGUACGGGAGGCAGCAGGGGGAAGCAUGGCGCAGUAGGGGGAAGCGUGAGGCGGCAGCCCCGCGUGCGGAAUGACGUCCCUCGGGUGAUAAACCGCUUUCGCCUGUGACGAGGCGGGAGUGACGGUACUUGGUAAAGAAGCACCGGCUAACUACGUG
Molecule: ribosomal RNA, 468 nt
Filed under: uncultured bacterium
Lineage: Bacteria
Description: partial 16S ribosomal RNA
Rfam family: Bacterial small subunit ribosomal RNA
Source: RNAcentral